RNAcentral lists this long non-coding RNA (1353 nucleotides) under Cyanistes caeruleus (blue tit). RNAcentral describes it as "lncRNA (ENSCCEG00000022896.1)". The record is from RNAcentral. Lineage: Eukaryota; Metazoa; Chordata; Aves; Passeriformes; Paridae.
CUACAUAAAAAUAUUUAUAUGCGGAAAUUGUUAAACUCUGUUUGCACUUAACAAUUCUGAAUAAUAUUGAAACUAACAAUAGGCAGAAUGUAAAGAUUUUGUGGAAAUUUCUGACUUCAGUAGCAAAAUGAAAAUUUUAAAAAUUUUUCAAAAAAAAUUUUAAAACCUUUUCAGUUUCAUUUUAAUUUCUCUUCAGGUAUAUCAGUGAAAUGCCUUACAAGAGAUUUAAUUCAGAUGCUGGUAUAUUUUUCUCUCUGACGAAUCAGGCCUCUCCUGCUGAAUGUCCAUGAGACACCAAUGGCUUUUGGUACUUGCACAUUCUGUGCCUGCAUCCUCAUCCAGUGCAAGACAAGCACAAGAAGCACUCUGACUAUAUUUGCUGUGAGCUUCAGCCUCUCAAGAACAUCACGAUACUGUUUGUAAGUGGCCACCUUUCUUCUACUCAGCCAAGAUCUCACAACCCAGACAGAAAGUUGAACUGGACAAAAAAAAAGGAGCAAUGCUGCUAUGAAGUUGCAGUACAACAGCUUAAAAGGAAAUUGCAAAAUUAGCAAGGGGAAAAUCGUUCCAUGGGUCUGAAGAGGAGGCAUUUAUGAAAAAAGACACUUUCAAAUACAGUCAGAUGUGCAACAACUCCCACAUGCAGAAGAGGAAUUCAUCUUCAGCAGGCAAUUAACAGGGGCCAAUAAGUUGCAAAGAGUGAUUUAGAAAUUUGGCUUGGGGCUUAGCCAAAGGGAAUCAAGUUAUGGGAAGGUAGGAUGACUGCUAAAGACUUAAGGUUUUUAAGAGCCAGUAUCUGAUCAAAGGAACAUAAGGACUGGGAAAAUGUCAGGAUCUUGGAUAGUCUUAGUAAAACAAAGGAGAGUGGAUUAGUCUUGAAGACCCUUGACACUAAGUCACAAAAGUUUAUGAAAGGAGGGACUAAGAUCAACAUUACUUGCGACCUCUGUCUGCUGUUCCUUAGCUUUGCACCUCCAUAAGGAGCCUGGCUCCUUCUCCCUGGUGGUAUUUUGGGUACUGUGUGCUGCUCUUGGGUCCCCCUGGCUGAACAAGCCCAACUCUCAGGUCAAGUGCUCCUGCUCCAGUGCCCUCCCAUCGUGGAUGUCUUUUCCUGAGCACAUCCUGGGGAUUCCUUUCUUAUAUUGAACCAUUACUGAAAUCAACACUGGGGCUCAACCUGAUGAGCACUGACUGAACAGGGAUAAUCCUUUUGCUCACCGUGGUCCUGCUGAUAAAUUCCUGUAUAUUUUUGGCAUUCCUGCUCUUGUACAUCUGCUGCCUUCCAGGACUCCCAGUUGUUUUUUUUAGCAGGACUGCUCCCCAGCCAGUCAAACCUCAGCCUGUCCUGGUGCA